CCCCAGCUGUGUUCAUUCUUCAUGUGUGAUGCUUUGUUUAAGAUGGAUCCACUAAUUGUGGCCACUUCAUCAGUGAAGAGGACAUUACACAAUUUUAAGCUGAAUCCAUGUUCAGAACUCUGACCCAGGGUUAUAAAGGAGCAUGGUAACCUAGAAACAUCUUACUAUGAUAGAAGAUAGAGCAAAGCUUACCAGUAAUGACUAUCAACUGAACUAUUCAGCCAUACACUUUUCUAAAGAAAAGAAAAGCAUGGAAGAUUGGAGCCCCC
This 269-nucleotide long non-coding RNA is filed under the name Fukomys damarensis (Damara mole-rat). Its description in RNAcentral is "lncRNA (ENSFDAG00000032061.1)". The record is from RNAcentral. Lineage: Eukaryota; Metazoa; Chordata; Mammalia; Rodentia; Bathyergidae.